This 253-nucleotide ribosomal RNA is filed under the name uncultured bacterium. Its description in RNAcentral is "partial 16S ribosomal RNA". It matches the Rfam family "Bacterial small subunit ribosomal RNA", at positions 524 to 776 of the family's 1533-position model. The record is from RNAcentral.
UACGUAUGGUGCAAGCGUUAUCCGGAUUUACUGGGUGUAAAGGGAGCGUAGGCGGCGCGUUAAGUCUGAUGUGAAAACCCGAGGCUCAACCACGGGAGUGCAUUGGAAACUGGCGGGCUGGAGUGCCGGAGAGGUAAGCGGAAUUCCUAGUGUAGCGGUGAAAUGCGUAGAUAUUAGGGGGAACACCAGUGGCGAAGGCGGCUUACUGGACGGCAACUGACGCUGAGGCUCGAAAGCGUGGGGAGCAAACAGG